Molecule: ribosomal RNA, 1579 nt
Filed under: uncultured bacterium
Lineage: Bacteria
Description: partial 16S ribosomal RNA
Rfam family: Bacterial small subunit ribosomal RNA
Source: RNAcentral
AGAGUUUGAUCCUGGCUCAGGACGAACGCUGGCGGCGUGCCUAAUACAUGCAAGUCGAGCGCAGGAAGCUCACGGAACUCUUCGGAGGGAAGUGAAGGGAAUGAGCGGCGGACGGGUGAGUAACACGUAAGGAACCUGCCCCAAGGAUUGGGAUAACUCCGAGAAAUCGGAGCUAAUACCGAAUAGUUCUUCAGACCGCAUGGUCUGAUGAUGAAAGGCGCUCCGGCGUCACCUUGGGAUGGCCUUGCGGUGCAUUAGCUAGUUGGUGGGGUAAUGGCCCACCAAGGCGACGAUGCAUAGCCGACCUGAGAGGGUGAUUGGCCACACUGGGACUGUGACACGGCCCAGACUCCUACGGGAGGCAGCAGUAGGGAAUCUUCCGCAAUGGACGAAAGUCUGACGGAGCAACGCCGCGUGAGUGAUGAAGGAUUUUNCUUCGUAAAGGAAAAAUGUUAGGGAAGAACAAGUACCGUUUCCCAUAGGGCGGNAAAAAAGAACGGUACCUAACCAGAAAGCCACGGCUAACUACGUGCCAGCAGCCGCGGUAAUACGUAGGUGGNAANCNUUGUCCGGAAUUAUUGGGCGUAAAGCGCGCGCAGGCGGUCUUUUAAGUCUGAUGUGAAAGCCCACGGCUCAACCGUGGAGGGUCAUUGGAAACUGGGAGACUUGAGUACAGAAGAGGAGAGUGGAAUUCCACGUGUAGCGGUGAAAUGCGUAGAUAUGUGGAGGAACACCAGUGGCGAAGGCGACUCUCUGGUCUGUAACUGACGCUGAGGCGCGAAAGCGUGGGGAGCAAACAGGAUUAGAUACCCUGGUAGUCCACGCCGUAAACGAUGAGUGCUAGGUGUUAGGGGUUUCGAUGCCCUUAGUGCCGAAGUUNACCAUUUUUUNGCACUCCGCCUGGGGAGUACGACCGCAAGGUUGAAACUCAAAGGAAUUGACGGGGGCCCGCACAAGCAGUGGAGCAUGUGGUUUAAUUCGAAGCAACGCGAAGAACCUUACCAGGUCUUGACAUCCUUUGACCACCCUAGAGAUAGGGCUUUCCCCUUCGAGGGGACAAAGUGACAGGUGAGUGCAUGGUUGUCGUCAGCUCGUGUCGUGUGAUGUUGGGUUAAAGUCCCGCAACGAGCGCAACCCUUGAUCUUAGUUGCCAGCAUUCAGUUGGGCACUCUAAGGUGACUGCCGGUGACANACCGGAGGAAGGUGGGGNCGACGUCAAAUCNUCAUGCCCCUUAUGACCUGGGCUACACACGUGCUACNAUGGAUGGUACANAGAGCAGCAAANCCGCGAGGUCGAGCCAAUCUCAUAAAGCCAUUCUCAGUUCGGAUUGUAGGCUGCAACUCGCCUACAUGAAGCCGGAAUUGCUAGUAAUCGCGGAUCAGCAUGCCGCGGUGAAUACGUUCCCGGGCCUUGUACNCUCCNCCCGUCACACCACGGGNGUNAAUAACACCCGAAGUCGGUGGGGUAACCCUUUUGGGAGCUAGCCGCCUAAGGUGGGACAGAUGUUUUCCCGAAGUCGUGGGAAAAGUAGCCGUAUCGGAAGGUGNNUUUUCCCCACCUCCGNNAAAAUCGAAUUCC